AUAGACAUUUAUUUUCUUCUGCUUCUAAAGGUUGGAAGUCCAAGAUGAAGGUGCUGGCAAAUUCAGUUUGUUGAGGGGCCAUUUCCUGCUUUGCAGAUGACAGGAUUCUUUCUUGUUGUAUCCUCACCCAG
This 131-nucleotide microRNA precursor is filed under the name Mus caroli (Ryukyu mouse). RNAcentral's name for it is "miRNA (MGP_CAROLIEiJ_G0008177.1)". The record is from RNAcentral. Lineage: Eukaryota; Metazoa; Chordata; Mammalia; Rodentia; Muridae.